UUCUGUGAAUGGUGUGUGUGUGUACGUGUGGAUUUGAGGCAGGGGGUCGGAGCGGCGGGGGCCGGCGGCAGCGAGUGGGUGGAGGGGAAAUUAGGGUUUGGGGAUGGGAAGAAAGGGGAAGAAGAUGGUCUAGGUGGAUGGGAAUUUUGUUUUUAUUUUUUUCUAUUUUUUUUAUAUUUUUCACAUGUCAAAAAUAAAUCUAAGUGUCCUUUCCAGCACCACUGUGUCAUUUUCGGUUGCUAUGUGUCAAUUUUCGACGUCCACAUAAGAAAUUGACCAAUCACCG
RNAcentral lists this long non-coding RNA (286 nucleotides) under Salvia miltiorrhiza (redroot sage). Its description in RNAcentral is "long non-coding RNA (SMIL_LNC010286)". The record is from RNAcentral. Lineage: Eukaryota; Viridiplantae; Streptophyta; Magnoliopsida; Lamiales; Lamiaceae.